Lotus japonicus is the source of this 1314-nucleotide long non-coding RNA. RefSeq lists it as uncharacterized. The record is from RefSeq and is a predicted model, not a curated record. The transcript has 2 exons. Lineage: Eukaryota; Viridiplantae; Streptophyta; Magnoliopsida; Fabales; Fabaceae.
ACAGACACUCACAUUUAUUUGAUUUCACUAACCUCACCUGCCUCACCUAACACGCAUUUUUCCCCUUCAACCCACUCACACAUUCUGAUUUCUGCACCAUAUUUAUUCUCUUCCAUUCAUCUUCAUAACCAUCCAUUCCUUUCCUAAUUCUCCAAGAUGGAGUUCCAUUACUCCACCACCUUAUAAACCUUCACCUUCUAUGUCCAAUCCAUGAAUGAUCUUCUUCCCCCAUCAACUUCCCCAUUAAAACCACCAACUGAGGUAUAAACAUCUCUAUUUUCACUUAAAAGCCACAACCUACCUUGACCAAUAUCAUGGCUAGCUUCACCAUUCUCCUUCCAUUCAUGUAGUCAAUCUUCUUCUUCAGUCUUAUAAAGCUAGCUUCCCCUCAACUCUGCUUACGAUUGUAAUUUGCCGGCCAUAGUCCAUGUAUAGUAAAUAGUUGUGAGAAUUGUGCUUUGUUGUGUCACGUUUAUUUAUCAUUACAUGACUAUGUCCCGCAAACUAUACUCGUAAGCAGCCAACUAAUUGCCCACGAACAUUAUGAUAUAAGAAUAUGCUGAAGAGCGAAAGAUGUUGAUUAUGCAUAAUUUGGCAAUAAACCCUUGGAAGACUCGUGGCUGAAGUGAUUUAGUGAAGAUAUCGGCUACUUGAAGAGCAGUAGGAAUGGGCAAGAGCUUAAGCACUCCAGCUUGCAACUUCUCUCUCACAACAUGACAAUCAAUCUCUAGAUGUUUUGUCCUCUCAUGAAAGACAGGAUUGGCUGCAAUAUACAAUGCACUUUGAUUGUCACAAAAUAAAACUGGGGUCUUUGCACAAGCAAUCUGCAAGUCCUGAAGUAGAUAAAGUAACCAUUGUAGUUCACAAGUAGCAUAGGCCAAAGCUCUAUAUUCAGCUUCACUUGAGGAGCGAGAAACUGUGGUUUGCUUCUUGGCUUUCCAUGAAACUAAAGAACCACCAAGGUAAAAACAAUAUCCUGAAAUUGACCUGCGUGUAUCUGAGCAGCAUGCCCAAUUAGCAUCUGAAUACCCUUGAAUAGUGAUAGGAGUACUCCUAGGAAAGAAGAGACCUAAGCCAGGGGAUGCUUUCAAAAACCUCAGAACCCUUAAUGCUGCUGUCUUGUGAUGAGUAUCCAUGGGAUUACUCAUGAACUGACUCAGUUGUUGGGUAGCAUAUGAAAUGUCAGGUCUUGUAGUAGUAAGAUUGAGUAAUCUCCCUACUAAUCUUCUAUAUGCAGCUUCAUUUGUAUAAGGGUCACCCUGAUCAUGUGCUAAUUUAGAUCCUGGAUCCAGUGGAGUGGAAACUGGUUUGCUA